Ictalurus furcatus (blue catfish) is the source of this 4847-nucleotide RNA transcript. It is a transcript of the gene named trichohyalin, with no coding region annotated. The transcript has 20 exons. The record is from RefSeq and is a predicted model, not a curated record. NCBI's taxonomy places the organism in Eukaryota, Metazoa, Chordata, Actinopteri, Siluriformes, Ictaluridae.
AGGAUGUGCUGUUGUAGAAAUAUAAUCGACUUUGGAGUGACUCAGCUUUGCAGCGUGUUGAUUCAUUUCCUCUAACCGUACACCCCCAAGUGUUUUAAUCCUUACAUGAUAUUAAAACAAAGCAGGUAACAAGUAAGGAGGAGGGCGACGAGGACGACAGCGUGCGCACGGAGGAUUUCAGCGCGAGGUUCCUGGAGGAAAUGCUGGACCCGACCAAGCCGAGCGCAGCCGGAUCUGCUCCAGACUUCAGCGCUCCAGAUUCUGCCAGUAUCAGCAGCGAUACCACACUCCUCACCGAACCACAGGUCACAAGCAGCCAGAACGCAGACCCGAUCCCCAGCGUGCUUUCUUUUAAAUCUCCCAGCAGGCAACUCGCGGGUGUUCCACUGAAAAGUUUCGACUUGGUCGCUAUAGACAGCGAUCUGGACUCCGUGUGUACAGAGCGAGUACGACACCACCUCCAGAGUACUCUCACCAACAGGAUAGCACAGGAAGAGUUCUUACAGAAUGGAUCAUGUGACGGAAGAACCAGCGUGAAAACCAAGCAACGAGCCGAAAACCAAACAUUCAGCUCUGAAGACGAGGUGAACAGUGUGUGUGUGAGGCGCUACAGAGCGCUGAGAUCUCCAGUCAGCAUCCAGCGAAGAGAGAAAAGGAACCAAAGCAGGAGGAACACCAGCUCCAGCAGCUCUACAGCCUCAACAUCAAACAAAGGGAAGGCUGAUGACAAGAUCAGAUCAGAAUUCAGCUAUGUGGAAUUGUCACUUGCAGAACUGCAGCAGCAAAAAGUGGCAGCUGUACAGGUCGUAGAGAGAUUGAGGAAGGAGGUUGAGCAGGCUGAGAAAGAGCAACACACAUUGCAUCUUAGUGUGACUCACACCAGGACACACACUCAGCUCCUCAGGAGCGAGCUGCACAAACUCCAAGCUCAGAGGGACUUGUACAUUCAGGAGGUCAGGGCUCUGCAGGAUAGCCAGGCUGCCCUGCAGAGACACAUAACCACUGUCCACCAUGACGCCAGCCCUCGUAGGCAUGUGAAUCACGGUUGUGUAUCAGCGCUGGAGAGGCAGGAGAUGGAUCGGCUUUUGGACAACGCCAAAUCGGAGCUGUUCUCCGAGCAGCGUCGCUUCAGACACACGCUGGACUCCAUGCAAGAGAGAUUGGAGGAAGUGACCCAGGAGCUGGAGCAGAAACUGGAGGAGAACAGGAAGCUCCGAGAGAAGUGCUCCCAGCUGGAGGAGAAGCUGACCACGGUCACCAAAACGAGACAAGAGCUACAGGAAGUACGUUCUCUCACUCUCUCUCGUGUGUGUGUGUGUGUGUGUGUGUGUGUGUGUCUCCUGGUCCGUUUGUCAACCUCGGCCUCUGUCUUUACGUCUCAGUCUGUACAGAGCGAACGAGUGGAGCAGGAGGACCGGCUCCGGGCUCUGGAGAAGAUCAUUGCACAGAAGGAGCUGCUUGUUCUGGAAACGCAGGAGGAGAAGAAUCGCCUGGAGAUGGAGAUCGGGGCUGUCAGGGAGGAGCACAGCGCUAAGCUAAAAGCAGCGCUGGGACACGCGCAGAAACAGAAGGUGUUUUGCAGUAACAGAGGGGAUCUUUUAGUGUUUGUGUCUUUUGGAGAACAUGCACAAAAGUCCUGUAUGUGUUCUCUCCACACGUCUCUGCAGGAAGUGGAAGUGGAGCAGCUCAGGACUCAGAUGACUCUGACUCACACGGAAGAGUUACAGCGGGUCCGUAUUCAGGUGCAUGAGAUAAAAGAAGCUGCGCUCAGAGAGCAAGCCGUCACACACACACGCCAAACUGAGUCCUUACACAACCGCAUCCAGAUGAAAGAGGAAGAGGUGAACAGACUGCAGGAGUCUUUAAAGGAGCAGCAGGAGGAACUCAGGAGGAGAGAAGAGGAGCUGAGAGGAGAUACUCAAGAACAGGUGAGGAGGGCAGUGGCGCGAGAGCAGAGGAGGUGGGAGGAGCAGAGGGCGGAGUCUCUGCGAGAGCAGCAGGUCAGACUGGAGAAGCAGAUGCAGGAGGUGGAGAGGAGAGGGAGAGCGGAGGUGGAGAGAGAAAAAAGGAGUGCGCUGGCUCUGCAGAAUAAAGUGCUGGAGCUGCAGAAGGAGUUGGACAGCACGGUGUUAAAGCAGACGGCUGUGAUCAGAGCUCUGCGAGACGAGCACCAGACAGAGUUAUAUAAAUUGCGCAGACAGCUGCAGCAGGAGGCUGAGAGCGAAGGCGUGCGUCUGAAAGAGUGUGUGAGGCGGAGCGAGCAGGAGCUGCAGGGCGUGAGGGCAGAGCUGGCAGAGUGUGAGCGUCUCCAGCAGGGGGCAGCAGCGAGAAACGAACAGCAGAAGGCCAGCUGGACUCAGGAUAUACACACUGAGUGUGUGUGUCUGCAGGAGCUGCUCACUCAGAACGGCUUCACCGUGGACAAUACACAUCUGUCACACAGUGUUACAGUGAGUGAGGCGGUGAAGGUGCUGCAGUCUCUCAGGAAGUCACUCCAACACCUCAUCACCAGCCUGCAGGAUCACAUCACCUCCCUGACACACACCAAGCAACAGCUCAGUACUGAUAAAGAGGAGGAGCUGCGUGUGCUGAGGGACCAGUUAACGUCUGAGAAGGAGAGAGCUGUAAAUGCAUUGAGGGAAAAACUUAUACAGGAGCACAUCGAGGAGCUGAGCAGUCUGAACAGGGUGCGUCUGCGUGACGAUGACGACGGUGAGGGCGUGGCUGCGCGUCUGCGCAGGCAGCUCCAGGCUAAAGACGAAGAGCUGCGUCAGGUGCAGAGGAACAUGGUGCAGUGGAAGGAGAAAACCACGGCACGGCUCGCACGCAAGUUCGAACAGGAGCUCACGUGUGAGCUGGAGAGGAAAGCCUGCAGACUAAAAUCAGAGCCGCGUCGGAGGCUGGAGCAGCUCGAGGGAGAGAUGAGACACCUGACUGCGGUAAAAUCACUCAUCACACCAUGUAUCCAUCCAUCCAUCCAUCUAUCCAUCUUCUAUACCGCUUAUCCUUUUCAGGGUCACGGGGGAACCUGGAGCCUAUCCCAGGGAGCAUCGGGAACAAGGCGGGGUACACCCUGGACAGGGUGCCAGUCCAUCGCAGGGCACAAUCACAUACACACUCACACACCCAUUCAUACACUACGGACGCUUUAGACACGCCAAUCAGCCUACCAUGCAUGUCUUCGGACUGGGGGCGGAAACCGGAGUACCCGGAGGAAACUACACCAUGUAUAUGCGCAGUAAGAAUUUAUUACAGUCACUGAAAAGAAUUUAACAGCACACAAACGUCAGUACCCUGUAAGAACCGGGCGCCUGGGGUUCCCGGAUUAAGACCCGAUGACGUCAUGCUGUUGGAGGAAAAUAAUCAACGAAGGCAUGCUGUGAUGACGCGGAGUCACCGUCUGCACGACGCUGUUGAUUAUUUUCCAAUAACAGCAUGUCCAGGAGCGUUUGAUUCGGCUUCUACCACAGCAGUUUACCAGUGAGUACGUUUGUUUGUUUGUCUGUAUAAUGUUGUGGAAAGUCUGCAAGUUAGUUCGCGUUAUCACGCACGUUAGAGCAGCUGUAGACGGUCGUUCCGUCACCAGCCGCUCUUUUGUUUCUUACCGCUAAUAAGAGUAAAUAAAUAAGACCAAAAAAAAAAUGGAGCAACGUGUAAUGUUACAGAGAAACCCAGAAAGAGUGAACUCUUCGGUCCUGAAUAAUAAAUACAAAACAUGGUAAGGUUGUUUCUGAAUGAUUAUUUGUCGUGUUAGCGGUUUAAAAUCCUAAAUUUGUAAUGAGGAUAUUUAAGUUUUGGUGUUUUUUUUUUUUUUUUUGCUACUGAUUUUCAUUUAAGCCUUAAGUUUAGGUUUACGCUUUGGCAACUUUUUUGUUUUAAAAGAAAGAAAGAAAUAAAAACGGGUUUUAAAACGAAACUGAUGGUGAAAUUCCGGAAUGUAUUUUAGAUUGAAAUCCUUUCAAGGGGAAUCGAGCACACAGACCGGUCAGAGUUCAAAACAGGAAAUGUUAGCACUGGCAAGACGAGACGUACGUUAUCGUGUCACGAAAUAUAAGAGCCAAUCGUUUUCCGGUAUGCAAAUUUUCUUGAUAAUGUAACAGCAUGUUAAGAAAAGGAGGUAGGGGGGUGUGUGUGUGGGGGUUUUUUGUUUUGUUUUUUUUUUGAGAUGUUGAAUAAUCUAUUAUUCGCUGUGGGAACAUUUUGGGUGAACAUUUUGGCUUGCUCACUACUCCCAGAGCUCCAGUGAGAUCACGGCCAUCCCAGCAUUCUCUGCUUCCUCGGCUCACGUCCCAGACACUGCCAGCAGCCACGACCUGGACUCAUACAAACUACUGCGCCACCUCCAGAGCCGCAUCCGGCAGCUGCAGGCUGACACACAGAGCCACACACACACCUACACACCCAGCGCUGCGCGUCUAAACCGGGAGCGGGGGAACACCGAGCUGGCUGGAUCCUACCUGGAGACAGUACGUAACAUCACCAUGGCUUAACUAGGAUGCGUUUUUAAUUGGCACUGGAAUUGGUAAACAGUACGAAACGUCGUCUAUACUACUUAACUGUAAGAAAAUAAUGAAAUAACGCGGUUUCUUUUUCCUAGAUCGCUCCAGCGCUGGAGAGCUCUGUGACACGACAGCACUCUGAUUUGAAAACAGCCCUGAACCCUAACCUUUGACCACUGACUAUAUCCUUAUUUUAUUUAUUUAUUUUUUUUGUGAAGCAUCAUGCUGAGACUAUUGUGAGUUUACACCUGUCAGCCUACUCAUAAGAGUCGACUCUUUCGACUCUCAGAAGGCUUGUUGUCAUUUUUAUCUCAAAUAAUAGAAUAGUAAAGGAACUACAGAAAGGUA